UGCGAGCCGACAGGUUAUCCGAAGUGGUUUCUGCUAAAGGAACCUUUUGUUAGUCCUAGAAACACUAACGAAUAAGGGGUGGGCAAGUUCUGGUGUCAGCCGCCGCGGUAAAACCAGCACCUCAAGUGGUCAGGAUGAUUAUUGGGCCUAAAGCAUCCGUAGCCGGCUCUGUAAGUUUUCGGUUAAAUCUGUACGCUCAACGUACAGGCUGCCGGGAAUACUGCAGAGCUAGGGAGUGGGAGAGGUAGACGGUACUCGGGAGGAAGUGGUAAAAUGCUUUGAUCUCUCGAUGACCACCUGUGGCGAAGGCGGUCUACCAGAACACGUCCGACGGUGAGGGAUGAAAGCUGGGGGAGCAAACCGGAUUAGAUACCCGGGUAGUCCCAGCUGUAAACUAUGCAAACUCAGUGAUGCAUUGGCUUGUGGCCAAUGCAGUAUUGCAGGGAAGCCGUUAAGUUUGCCGCCUGGGAAGUACGUACGCAAGUAUGAAACUUAAAGGAAUUGGCGGGGGAGCAC
This 516-nucleotide ribosomal RNA is filed under the name uncultured crenarchaeote. RNAcentral's name for it is "bacterial SSU rRNA". It matches the Rfam family "Archaeal small subunit ribosomal RNA", at positions 360 to 879 of the family's 1478-position model. The record is from RNAcentral. Lineage: Archaea; Thermoproteati; Thermoproteota.